Molecule: ribosomal RNA, 497 nt
Filed under: uncultured bacterium
Lineage: Bacteria
Description: partial 16S ribosomal RNA
Rfam family: Bacterial small subunit ribosomal RNA
Source: RNAcentral
GAUGAACGCUGGCGGCGUGCCUAAUACAUGCAAGUCGAGCGAACGGACGAGAAGCUUGCUUCUCUGAUGUUAGCGGCGGACGGGUGAGUAACACGUGGAUAACCUACCUAUAAGACUGGGAUAACUUCGGGAAACCGGAGCUAAUACCGGAUAAUAUUUUGAACCGCAUGGUUCAAAAGUGAAAGACGGUCUUGCUGUCACUUAUAGAUGGAUCCGCGCUGCAUUAGCUAGUUGGUAAGGUAACGGCUUACCAAGGCAACGAUGCAUAGCCGACCUGAGAGGGUGAUCGGCCACCCUGGAACUGAGACACGGUCCAGACUCCUACGGGAGGCAGCCGUAGGGAAUCUUCCGCAAUGGGCGAACGCCUGACGGAGCAACGCCGCGUGAGUGAUGAAGGUCUUCGGAUCGUAAAACUCUGUUAUUAGGGAAGAACAUAUGUGUAAGUAACUGUGCACAUCUUGACGGUACCUAAUCAGAAAGCCACGGCUAACUACGUG